Molecule: long non-coding RNA, 419 nt
Filed under: Musa acuminata (dwarf banana)
Lineage: Eukaryota; Viridiplantae; Streptophyta; Magnoliopsida; Zingiberales; Musaceae
Description: long non-coding RNA (MACU_LNC006674)
Source: RNAcentral
AUCAUCACCGUCAUUCCGUUCCUCCGCCUCGGUCUCUCCGGUUUUGUCCCUUCCUCCUGCCGCCUGAUAAAAAGAGGAGCGACGCAGCAUCAACGACACAGUGGAAGGAUCGAAGGUUGGUAGAUGGAGAAGCUGGCGUUAUCAUGUGAGUUCUCUACAUGCUCUUUCAUGAGUUUUCUAGAUGAAACGAGUUGCUUUUAACUAAUCAUGCAUAUAUUAUUGUCUCAGUUCUCUCUCUGUGGAUAAAGGCUUGUAAAGGUAAAUAAAGGAAAGAUAUGGCCAUGGAAAGGAAGUCCCUACAAAUGUUUCAGAUAGGUUUAUUGACUUCAUCCCAAGAAUAUUACCAGGAUAAUUUUUUUUAUAUAGAAAAUUGUAGUGCAAUUGGAUUGUGAUUUAGUAUAUGCUAAUUUUGAGCAGGA